AGAUGGUACUGAAUGGAUAGUGUUAUAUAUACAGCCAUGCACUGGGUAGUUGGGUACAUAGUGCAUGGCUGUAUAUAUAACACUAUCCAUUCAUCUUUCAGC
MicroRNA precursor from Macaca fascicularis (crab-eating macaque), 102 nucleotides. Lineage: Eukaryota; Metazoa; Chordata; Mammalia; Primates; Cercopithecidae. The record is from Ensembl.